Molecule: unclassified non-coding RNA, 265 nt
Filed under: uncultured bacterium
Lineage: Bacteria
Description: contains 16S-23S intergenic spacer region
Source: RNAcentral
UCCGGUUUGGCACCGGCAGUCUCCGUAGAGUCCCCGACAUUACUCGCUGGCAACUACGGACAGGGGUUGCGCUCGUUGCGCCACUUAAGGCAACACCUCACGGCACGAGCUGACGACAGCCAUGCAGCAUCUGUGCACCGGCCCCGAAGGGGGGCUGUGUUUCCACGGCUUACCGGUGCAUGUCAAGCCUUGGUAAGGUUCUGCGCGUUGCGUCGAAUUAAACCACACGCUCCGCUGCUUGUGCGGGCCCCCGUCAAUUCCUUUG